UACAGAGGGGGCAAGCGUUGUUCGGAAUUACUGGGCGUAAAGGGCGCGUAGGCGGCCCGCUAAGUCGAACGUGAAAUCCCCGAGCUCAACUCGGGAACUGCGUCCGAUACUGGCGGGCUUGAAUCCGGGAGAGGGAUGCGGAAUUCCAGGUGUAGCGGUGAAAUGCGUAGAUAUCUGGAGGAACACCGAUGGCGAAGGCAGGUCUCUGGGCAUUAACUGACGCUGAGGAGCGAAAGCAUGGGGAGCGAACAGG
This 253-nucleotide ribosomal RNA is filed under the name uncultured bacterium. RNAcentral's name for it is "partial 16S ribosomal RNA". It matches the Rfam family "Bacterial small subunit ribosomal RNA", at positions 524 to 776 of the family's 1533-position model. The record is from RNAcentral.